UGGAGCAUCAGAUGUCGCUGAAGGUUGAUUCUGAAGGCGAAGAUUGAACGCUGGCGGAUGCUUUACAUGGUCAGGCAACACGGACGCUUCGGUCUGGUGGCGAGUGGCGAACGGGUGGUAAUGUAUCGGAACAUGCGCCUGGUAGCGGCGGGGAUAACUACGCGAAAGCGUAGCUAAUAUGCGCCCAUCAGGAAGAAAGCGGGACCUUCGGGCCUCAUAACGAAGCGGCCAUUAUCGGAUUAGCUGGUUAAUGGUGGGGUAACGGCUCACCAGAGCGACGAUCCGUAGCCGUUUGAAGAGGACGACCAGCCACACUGGGACUGAGCCACGGCUGGGCUCUACAGGAGGCAGCAGUGAGACACACGGAUGUGGAAACCUGAUCCAGCCAUCCGCAGUGUGCGAUGAAGGCCUUCAGGUUGUAAGCACUUUGGCAGAAAAAGCAACGCGGAUAUGCGCGCCGAUACAGCGGCCGACACCGCAGAAUGGCUGCAGCCAACUACGUGCCAGCAGCCGUGGUAAUACGGCUGACGCAAGCGUUAAUCAAGAUACUAUGGGCGUAAAGCGUGCGCGACGGAACGGAAAGAAAGAUGUAGAAAUCAGGCUUAACUUUGAACUGCAUUUUUAACUACCAUGCGAGCUAGAGGUGUCAAGAGGAGGUGGAACUGCCGCGUCAGCAGUGAAAUGCGUAGAUAUGCGGAGGAACACCGAUGGCGAAGGCAGCCUCACAGGAUGCUGACGCUCAUGCACAGCGUGGGGAGGCAAACGGGAUUAGAUACCCUGGUAGUCCACGCCCAACGUAUCAACUGCUUCUUGGGCCUUCCGGGCCUUGGUAGCGCAGCUAACGCGUGAAGUUGACCGCCUGGGGAGUACGGUCGCAAGAUUAGAAACUCAAAGGAAUUGACGGGACCCGCACAAGCGGUGGAUGAUGUGGAUUGGCAAUUCGAUGCAACGCGAAAAACCUUACCUACCCUUGACAUGUCUGGGUCGAAGAGAUUUGGGAGUGCUCACAAGAAGAACCGGAACACAGGUGCUGCAUGCUCGUGUCAGCUCGUGUCGUGGAUGUUGGGUUAAGUCCCGCAACGAGCGCAACCCUUGUCAUUAGUUGCUACGAAAGGGACGCUCUAAAUGAGAUAUAGUGACAACCGGGAAGAAGAGUGGGGAUGACGUCAGAAUCCUCAUGGCCCUUAUGGGCGAGACCACCACGUCAUACAAUGGUCGGGACAGAGGAAUUCGCCAACCCUUGCGAGGCCAAUCCCGAAACCCGAUCAUGAGUCGGAUCGCAGUCUGCAACUCGACUACGUGAAGUCAGGUAUGGUAAUCGCCGGAUCAGCAUGUCGCGGUGAAUACGUUCCCGGGUCCAAUACACACCGCCCGUCACACCAUGGGAGUGGUUUUACCAGAAGUAGUUAGCCUAACCGUAGGAAGGCGAUUACCACGGUAGGAUUCAUGACAGGGGUGAAGUCGUAACAAGGAUGCAG
Molecule: ribosomal RNA, 1478 nt
Filed under: uncultured Bordetella sp.
Lineage: Bacteria; Pseudomonadati; Pseudomonadota; Betaproteobacteria; Burkholderiales; Alcaligenaceae
Description: partial 16S-23S ribosomal RNA intergenic spacer
Rfam family: Bacterial small subunit ribosomal RNA
Source: RNAcentral